This 175-nucleotide ribosomal RNA is filed under the name uncultured bacterium. RNAcentral describes it as "partial 16S ribosomal RNA". It matches the Rfam family "Bacterial small subunit ribosomal RNA", at positions 781 to 955 of the family's 1533-position model. The record is from RNAcentral.
GAUACCCUGGUAGUCCACGCUGUAAACGAUGAUUACUAGGUGUGGCGGGACUGACCCCUUCCGUGCCGCAGUUAACACAAUAAGUAAUCCACCUGGGGAGUACGGCCGCAAGGCUGAAACUCAAAGAAAUUGACGGGGGCCCGCCCAAGCGGGGGAGAAUGUGGUUUAAUUCGAA